RNAcentral lists this ribosomal RNA (252 nucleotides) under uncultured bacterium. Its description in RNAcentral is "partial 16S ribosomal RNA". It matches the Rfam family "Bacterial small subunit ribosomal RNA", at positions 524 to 776 of the family's 1533-position model. The record is from RNAcentral.
UACGUAGGUGGCAAGCGUUGUCCGGAAUUACUGGGUGUAAAGGGAGCGUAGGCGGGAGAAUAAGUUGAAUGUAAAAUCUAUCGGCUCAACCGAUAGCCGCGUUCAAAACUGUUUUUCUUGAGUGAAGUAGAGGCAGGCGGAAUUCCUAGUGUAGCGGUGAAAUGCGUAGAGAUGCGGAGGAACACCAGUGGCGAAAGCGGCUUUCUGGUCCUUAACUGACGCCGAGGCGCGAAAGCAUGGGGAGCGAACGGG